UCUCUGGUAGCACAUCGGCUAAUGCACGCUGUUAUUACAUUUGUCAGCAUGAAAUCGGGUUCGAUUCCCAGCUAGAGAG
This 79-nucleotide transfer RNA is filed under the name Armillaria solidipes. RNAcentral's name for it is "tRNA-Asn". Lineage: Eukaryota; Fungi; Basidiomycota; Agaricomycetes; Agaricales; Physalacriaceae. The record is from RNAcentral.